GGGGGCGUCACGGUUUCGACGGGGACAUUUGAAGUUGUAGAAGCGUACCGAGGUUCCUACAGGCCUCGUUAAAUAGGUAGGAAACAUAUAAUCGCAGACAACUACGAUUACGCAUUAGCCGCCUAGGUCGGCUAACGUUCUGCCCGGUUUUCCUGUUGGCUUGGUUGGAACGUCAUUUAGACAGGAUAGCCAAACUUCUUUCCUGGGGGAGGGCGGCGAAUACUUACAGGAUAGCGCGGUAAGAUCCGGCCUUGGGGAGCAAACCAGCGUGAAGGUUCUAAAACUUAGGCUACGUACGUAGAAGCUACAGCGGAAGGUUUUCGGACGCGGGUUCGACUCCCGCCGCCUCCACCA
Molecule: transfer-messenger RNA, 354 nt
Filed under: Smithellaceae
Lineage: Bacteria; Pseudomonadati; Thermodesulfobacteriota; Syntrophia; Syntrophales
Also listed under: 1 other name
Description: Smithella sp001412345 Standard tmRNA
Rfam family: transfer-messenger RNA
About the family: Bacterial tmRNA, also known as 10Sa RNA or SsrA, is named for its dual tRNA and mRNA-like properties. Its role is to liberate the mRNA from a stalled ribosome.
Source: RNAcentral